UGUCCAAGGUAGCCUAGUGGUCAUGGCAUCUGCCCGGUAAGCGGAAGGUCGUGAAUUCGCCCGGGUUUUACCCGAGUAA
Molecule: non-coding RNA, 79 nt
Organism: Cordylochernes scorpioides
Lineage: Eukaryota; Metazoa; Arthropoda; Arachnida; Pseudoscorpiones; Chernetidae
Source: the annotation of a GenBank genome assembly